UAUCGACGAAUUGGUCAAAUCAGUAGAAUGAAUAUGAUAAGACUGAAGUCCAGUCUUAUCAUUCCACAAGUGAGGCGUAGACUUUAAAACUGACCUACCAAGCUAAAUCAAGCAUUUACGCGGUCGCUACAAGUGCAGAGGGUUAGAAGCGUCGAUAUCCACCACGAAAAUGUCAGUUGCGAACGAAGCUCCGUUUGGUGUGAUGAAAACUGAAUUCACGGACAGCAAGAAGUGCGACGAUGGCUUUCAUCAUGUCGCCGUUGCGGAUAUUCCCAAGGGGGUUUUCAUAUGCAGUGUCGCCGGACCGAUCAGGUCGGACCGAACCCGCUACACAAUGCAAACAAGCGAUGAUGAGCAUACGGACCCGUUGAUUCCUCUCCGUUAUACCAAUCACUCGUGCGAGCCGACAGCGAAGAUCCUCUUCUCUUCUAAACCAUGGAGAUUAGUGGCUGUGCGUGAUAUUAAGAAAGGCGAAGACAUCACCUUUGACUAUCAUACUUUCGAAUACAAGAUGGCGGAAGGAUUUAACUGCGCAUGCGGUGCUAAGGCUUGUAGGGGGAAGGUUCAAGGCUUUUAUUAUCUGCCUGAGAGUCAGAAGAAUGAGUACGCAGAUGAUGUUUCGCCAGUCGUCAAGAAACUGUGGGAAAGUGAACAGUAAACUAAAUGGUUGUAACUUUCCGCUUGAAUUACUACGCAGAUCACCGAGAACUCUUUAUUUUAGCUUAAUUAUAUCAUUCAUGAUUUAACGACUGAAUUAAUGCUCAGUAGUAGUGAUGGUGAAUUCAAAUAAUGCUUUUAUCAUUUGGAACAAUUGGUCAAAUACAUACAGCGAACGCCAUCACACACUUGCAGGGUACCUCGGCUGUGAUUACUUUUAUGUAAAGACCGAGAGCUAAACACUAGUAUAUAGUGAAAAAAAUCGCGAAAUCACAAAAUGUACUGGACGAUACCUUUCUAAAGUGAUACGGAUAGUGUUAAGGAUCUGCUGACAAUGUUACUCAAUUGUAAAAUACCCAACAGUAAUAAUAUGAAUAUGUUUUAGUUGUAGGCCUAACUCUAAUUUGGUAAUACUGUGUCAAACCGCUUUUAACGGAUAUACAGGCUAUGAUUGUCGUCAUUUAGGGACAGCCACAACAAGAGGGCUUGGUCGCAGAUCCAAAUUUCUUAUAAAGAAAAUAAAUAAUUGUUGUUUCAGUGAUCCACA
This is a long non-coding RNA of Lineus longissimus, 1204 nucleotides long. RefSeq lists it as uncharacterized. The transcript is spliced from 2 exons. The record is from RefSeq and is a predicted model, not a curated record. Lineage: Eukaryota; Metazoa; Nemertea; Pilidiophora; Heteronemertea; Lineidae.